RNAcentral lists this ribosomal RNA (345 nucleotides) under Acidobacteria bacterium enrichment culture clone C46_08_H59. RNAcentral describes it as "bacterial SSU rRNA". It matches the Rfam family "Bacterial small subunit ribosomal RNA", at positions 15 to 354 of the family's 1533-position model. Lineage: Bacteria; Pseudomonadati; Acidobacteriota. The record is from RNAcentral.
GAUCCUGGCUCAGAAUCAACGCUGGCGGCGUGCCUCAGACAUGCAAGUCGAACGAUUAAGACUUCCUUCGGGAAGUGCAUAAAGUGGCGCACGGGUGAGUAACACGUAAGUAAUCUACCUUCGAGUGGGGAAUAACGUCCGGAAACGGACGCUAAUACCGCAUGAUGCAGCGGCAUCGUAAGAUGACAGUUGUUAAAGGAGCAAUUCGCUUGAAGAGGAGCUUGCGGCAGAUUAGCUAGUUGGUAAGGUAAUGGCUUACCAAGGCUACGAUCUGUAACCGGUCUAAGAGGACGGUCGGUCACACUGACACUGAAUAACGGGUCAGACUCCUACGGGAGGCAGCAG